Molecule: unclassified non-coding RNA, 152 nt
Filed under: soil metagenome
Description: partial internal transcribed spacer 1
Source: RNAcentral
CAGAGUUUAAAACUCCCUAAACCCAUUGUGAACCAUACCCAUAAUCAGUUGCUUCGGCGGCGCCCCUACAGGGGCCCGCCAGAGACCACUAAACUCUUGCUUUGUUAGCAAUGUCCUGCUCUGAGUGUUGACUGCAAGCUGUAAAUAAGUCA